Molecule: ribosomal RNA, 406 nt
Filed under: uncultured bacterium
Lineage: Bacteria
Description: partial 16S ribosomal RNA
Rfam family: Bacterial small subunit ribosomal RNA
Source: RNAcentral
AUUGAACGCUGGCGGCAGGCCUAACACAUGCAAGUCGAACGAGUGGCGGACGGGUGAGUAAUGUCUGGGAAACUGCCUGCUGGAGGGGGAUAACUACUGGAAACGGUAGCUAAUACCGCAUACCAUCAGAUGUGCCCAGAUGGGAUUAGCCAGUUGGUGGGGUAACGGCUCACCAAGGCGACGAUCCCUAGCUGGUCUGAGAGGAUGACCAGCCACACUGGAAAUGAGGAACGGUCCCGACUCCUACGGGAGGCAGCAGUGGGGGAUAUUGCAGAAUGGGCGCAAGCCUGAUGCAGCCAAUGCGCGUGUAUGAAGAAGGCCUUCGGGUUGUAAAGUACUUUCCGCGGGGAGGCGUUACCCGCAGAAGAAGCACCGGCUAACUCCGUGCCAGCAGCCGCGGUAAUUC